Parus major (Great Tit) is the source of this 2504-nucleotide long non-coding RNA. RefSeq lists it as uncharacterized. Lineage: Eukaryota; Metazoa; Chordata; Aves; Passeriformes; Paridae. The transcript has 2 exons. The record is from RefSeq and is a predicted model, not a curated record.
UUGUUUGGGGUUUUUUUUCCAGUGGUAAAAUUUCAUCAGUUGCUUUGCAAAACAACCUUUUCUUGUUUAGGAUUUGGAAUUCUUUGUUCCCAGAAGCAACAUCUUGUGUAUUACGUAUUCAGAGGUAUUAAUGUGAUAUAGCCAAAUUUAUCUGUGAUAGUAUUACUGAAAAAUGUGAGAUGAAAGAGCAAAAAGCAAUAGCUGUAGCCUUGUGGUGGAAGCAAAAUGUUGGUCAGCAGACUUACUGCCUGACCUGAAUUACAAAGUUUUCUACUAGAAGUAAUAUAAGGAUAUUGGCAGUACAGCAGAACAAUAUAGAGCAGUUUUUGCUGUCAAUAUAAUAAUGACAAAUAAUAUAAUCAAUGUAAGAAAAAAUUAAGGAAUGUAAGUCAUAUUACACCUUGUUAAGUUUCAAUAGGUUAGUUCUCUCUGUAUGUGCCAUUUUAUAUUUGUGAAUUCCCAUAAUAUUAUUUGCAUGUCAUCACUUAAGUUCUAAUAUCUUGAAUAUUAAAAUAAUUUAAAAUAUAUUUAUUUCUUCAGUUUCUGUGUUGAACUGUCUUCAAAUAUCCUUUCAAGUGAAUUUAAAUUGAGAAUAAAGUACAAUUUAUAUUCUGGGCAUCAUCUUGUGGAAGUUCUAAAUCACUUCAUGAGGCUUUCAGCCUAGGUUAUGUCAUUUAUCCAUCAGCGCUCAGUCCAUUUAAUCCAGACCUCUCAGCUGUACAGACCUAGCUCCUGUUGUGAGUGAUCGGCCUGCUUGAGUGCUCCCAGCUUCUCCUGUCACAUCACAUUUGCAUAAAAGAGGACGGAUAACCAAAUUUGAGCACACAAAUGAAAAUGUUAAGCGCUGAACCUGUCACAGUUGUUGUUCAACUAAUUGUGAAAAAUUUGAUUUGCUGGCUUUUCACUGUUUAUCAUGUGGACCCCCUUCUCAAAUUUGCCUUGGCUUCUGCUUCUGUACAUGUAGCUUUUAAACUCUCUACACAAGCAGCCCACCCUGGGGAUUACUUACCUCUCCUACCAGCUUUUAAUGUUGGCUCAUCUACUUGACUAAAUUAGGCCACCAUGGCAAACAAACACAUAAUUAAAAACCUGGGAAAGACGACUGCAGUUGCACUUCUUAAAUUGAUUUUGCAGUCUAUUACUGGUAUAUGCCUUUGCAUUUUGCCAUUUUUAUCUUGUCCUUCUGUAAACCCAGAAAAUGUCUUUACUUUUGAUUGUAUAUAGGUGGGAGGAUAUAUUAUUUCAAAACGAAAGCUAAUAUUUUUUCCUGAAAUGGAAAUAGUAAAUAAAAACACAUUCUUAUUUCUGGGUAUUUUGUGGCAGCUUAUUACAGAGGUGCUGUAUUCAUUUGAAAUUAAGACCCAUUUUUGAACUGGCAUUGAAAAAUCAUGGAUGAAGUAUUGUUCAAAUUAUUGUGAUUUUUCAAAAUUCUUUCCAAAUGUACCUAGAACUGCUGUUGUAUUUAUAAUUCAAAAUACUUUCUCUUUAUUUAGUUUUAAAAGCUUCUUAUGAUUUAUACCAAGAGAUCACCAAUUAAAACAGUUGAAUAUCAUGUUGGGUUUUUUUGUGAGGGGAGAAGAGGUUCAGCCAAACAAUUAUCUAUUAAAAAAAAUAGAAUCAUCUACAAAUCCAAAUUAUACAUCUCUUUGGUAUUGUCAUUGGUUGGUUAUACUCUGAAUGCCCAUUGCUGUCAUCAUUUAAGGAGGUGGAUGAUAACAUGAGCAUAGUGAAUAUAAAUCUACCAAGACCAUUGAAGGCUUCUAAAAAUAAUUUGAUAAGAAAAACUGGUAUUUAGAUGUAUAACAAAAAUCUUUAUUUUUCCAGGAGUUCUAAAAUAUCAAAAUAAUUGUUUUCAAAUGAAAAAAAUUAUUCAUCAGCAGCUAUGGCUGAAAUACUGUUGAAAAAAAUAAAAUUGAAAUUAUUUUGCUUAAAAUCCUUUUAAAUUUCAUUGUAUUGUGUCUGUGAAGGGGUAGAAGUCACUAAAGUGACUUUCAUGUCAAGUGAAGUUCUGAAAAUAAUUGUACUAGUAGGAUGUAAUCUGUUAUCUGUUUUGUAAGCUGAUCAAGAUGCAUCUUAAAACUGUAGGAUAUUUCUAACUGUUUCUCAGGUAAGUUUUGUACCAAAAAAACCCUAAACCAAACAAAAAACAACCAAGUAACCCUACCCCCUCCAAACCUCCCCCCAUGUUUUCUUUUCAUUUAUGUAAUUUGUAGCCUAAACUGACUUUUCAUCCAGGUUAUAUAUAGUUAGGUGUCCUUUGUUUUAAAUACCUUUUUCCCUUCAUGAUGUUUACUUCCUUGAUCGUCAAAAGCUGUCACGUUGUCACAGCCUUCAGUUCACAAGGCUAAAUGAACUGAACUCUUAAAGGCCUUUGACAAAGCCUGAUGUAUUUAACUGCAGCAAUAUCAGAUUGUAACAUUCACAGAUCAGUAUGUUGGAGAGCACUGUCCUUCUCAUUUUUUAGACUGAAUUAUACUGUAAUUAAAAAUGUACCUGGAGAAAUA